RNAcentral lists this ribosomal RNA (1246 nucleotides) under 'Tilia platyphyllos' phytoplasma. RNAcentral describes it as "bacterial SSU rRNA". It matches the Rfam family "Bacterial small subunit ribosomal RNA", at positions 153 to 1399 of the family's 1533-position model. RNAcentral also lists the same sequence under 1 other name. The record is from RNAcentral. Lineage: Bacteria; Bacillati; Mycoplasmatota; Mollicutes; Acholeplasmatales; Acholeplasmataceae.
GAAACGACUGCUAAGACUGGAUAGGAGACAAGAGGGCAUCUUCUUGUUUUUAAAAGACCUAGCAAUAGGUAUGCUUAGGGAGGAGCUUGCGUCACAUUAGUUAGUUGGUGGGGUAAAGGCCUAACAAGACUAUGAUGUGUAGCCGGGCUGAGAGGUUGAACGGCCACAUUGGGACUGAGACACGGCCCAAACUCCUACGGGAGGCAGCAGUAGGGAAUUUUCGGCAAUGGAGGAAACUCUGACCGAGCAACGCCGCGUGAACGAUGAAGUAUUUCGGUACGUAAAGUUCUUUUAUUAGGGAAGAAUAAAUGAUGGAAAAAUCAUUCUGACGGUACCUAAUGAAUAAGCCCCGGCUAACUAUGUGCCAGCAGCCGCGGUAAUACAUAGGGGGCAAGCGUUAUCCGGAAUUAUUGGGCGUAAAGGGUGCGUAGGCGGUUAAAUAAGUUUAUGGUCUAAGUGCAAUGCUCAACAUUGUGAUGCUAUAAAAACUGUUUAGCUAGAGUAAGAUAGAGGCAAGUGGAAUUCCAUGUGUAGUGGUAAAAUGCGUAAAUAUAUGGAGGAACACCAGUAGCGAAGGCGGCUUGCUGGGUCUUUACUGACGCUGAGGCACGAAAGCGUGGGGAGCAAACAGGAUUAGAUACCCUGGUAGUCCACGCCGUAAACGAUGAGUACUAAACGUUGGGUAAAACCAGUGUUGAAGUUAACACAUUAAGUACUCCGCCUGAGUAGUACGUACGCAAGUAUGAAACUUAAAGGAAUUGACGGGACUCCGCACAAGCGGUGGAUCAUGUUGUUUAAUUCGAAGGUACCCGAAAAACCUCACCAGGUCUUGACAUGCUUCUGCAAAGCUGUAGAAACACAGUGGAGGUUAUCAGUUGCACAGGUGGUGCAUGGUUGUCGUCAGCUCGUGUCGUGAGAUGUUGGGUUAAGUCCCGCAACGAGCGCAACCCUUAUUGUUAGUUACCAGCACGUAAUGGUGGGGACUUUAGCAAGACUGCCAGUGAUAAAUUGGAGGAAGGUGGGGACGACGUCAAAUCAUCAUGCCCCUUAUGACCUGGGCUACAAACGUGAUACAAUGGCUGUUACAAAGGGUAGCUGAAGCGCAAGUUUUUGGCGAAUCUCAAAAAAACAGUCUCAGUUCGGAUUGAAGUCUGCAACUCGACUUCAUGAAGUUGGAAUCGCUAGUAAUCGCGAAUCAGCAUGUCGCGGUGAAUACGUUCUCGGGGUUUGUACACACCGCCCGUCA